GACGAACGCUGGCGGCGUGCUUAACACAUGCAAGUCGAACGGAAAGGCCCUGCUUUUGUGGGGUGCUCGAGUGGCGAACGGGUGAGUAACACGUGAGUAACCUGCCCUUGACAUUGGGAUAACUUCAGGAAACUGGGGCUAAUACCGGAUAGGAGCUCCUGCUGCAUGGUGGGGGUUGGAAAGUUUCGGCGGUUGGGGAUGGACUCGCGGCUUAUCAGCUUGUUGGGGGGGUAGUGGCUUACCAAGGCUUUGACGGGUAGCCGGCCUGAGAGGGUGACCGGCCACAGUAGGACUGAGAUACGGCACGGACUCCUACGGGAGGCAGCAGUGGGGAAUAUAGCACAAUGGGCGGAAGCCUGAUGCAGCAACGCCGCGUGCGGGAUGACAGCCUUCGGGUUGUAAACCGCUUUCGCCUGUGACGAAGCGUGAGUGACGGUAAUGGAUAAAGAAGCACCGGCUAACUACGUG
RNAcentral lists this ribosomal RNA (468 nucleotides) under uncultured bacterium. RNAcentral's name for it is "partial 16S ribosomal RNA". It matches the Rfam family "Bacterial small subunit ribosomal RNA", at positions 28 to 507 of the family's 1533-position model. The record is from RNAcentral.